GGAGGGUAAAGUGAGAAUCCUGCCUGCACCACAGGUCUGGACUGCUAACCUUGAAUCCUGGUUUCUUAAAUUCUGCCUCCGCUUCUGACUGAGGACCACUGGAUUUUGAGGAAACUUUGGUCUUAAUUCCCGUACUGAUUAGUCAACAGUGGAAAAUCUGAAGAGAUGCAAGCAGGAAAAAGAAAUUAAACCAGAAGGACAGGUGGAGGGAAGCGCCCCAGACAAGGAAGCUGGCAACCAGCCCCAGAGCAGUGAUGGGACCACCUCGUCUUGAAUCUGACCUUGUCCAAGAAGGCUGGACGAGAGACCUUCUGUCCCCUCCCAGAGGGGGAACCCUGGCACUGGCCCAGCAGCCUCUUCUCUGAGCUCCAUGUCCCAGAUAAACCAGGCCAGACUGAGAAGGCUCCCCAGAGGCCUCUGUGGCCUCCACUCCGGGAAAGCCCUCUGCCCACACCCACAGGCUUCACAUUCCCACCACCUUCGCACCGUGCCCAGGUACACUUUCAAGACACUGUAACCACAAGAUGUUAUUUAUUGAGCUGGCGCCGGGACUUGGGCGGGGCCUGCCCUACAGUGAGCAGCCCACACAGGAACGCUCCUCUCACGAGCGGCCCGGGCAGGGACCCUGUCCCAACACCAACACCUCCUCUCCAGCCCAAUCUUCUGGGUCCAGACCUGCUUGUCCCUUUUUUAGAAAACACUUUUAAACUUUUUAAAAAUUUUAAACCUUUUUUCAGCAGAUAUGGAGAGAGCUGACAAUCAAUUCACAUUUUUUAAGCCAUUUUAGCUAAACUGUCAUUGUGCAUCUCUGAGGUUCCCUCAUGGAGCUCCACAGAUCCAUUUUUAGGGAAGGGAUUUUGGCUCAAAACGAUCUGACCACCUCUGCCCUGUCCACCAGGAUAAGUGACACCUAGGACCCAGGAAAUAAAUGCCGAUGAUUUGUGUGACUGGUUUAAGAUUAUUUCUCCUUAACCUUGCAAAAACAGGGGUUGGGCCUUAUUUUCCCCAAGUCCACAAUUAGCCGGACUUGCCCCAGGCCUCUAGAACAUACGAUUCUGAGAAGAUGCUGGCGUUCUGCA
Molecule: long non-coding RNA, 1079 nt
Filed under: Pan troglodytes (chimpanzee)
Lineage: Eukaryota; Metazoa; Chordata; Mammalia; Primates; Hominidae
Description: long non-coding RNA NONPTRT008950
Source: RNAcentral